Molecule: ribosomal RNA, 492 nt
Filed under: Triticum aestivum (bread wheat)
Lineage: Eukaryota; Viridiplantae; Streptophyta; Magnoliopsida; Poales; Poaceae
Description: partial small subunit ribosomal RNA
Source: RNAcentral
AUGUCGGCAGCGCUUCGAUCCGCGGCGAGGAUGCUCGGCCGUGGCUCCCUGCUCCAGCGAACGGGGGCGGAGGGGCUCUUCUCGCCAAGCAGAAGCAGGCUCGUGCACACCCGUGAGCAUGCUCCUACAGACCUUGCGCGCGAGAUCCAACAGAAGAAAGACGAGCUACGGAGCUUGGUAUCUAAGGCGAUGCGGAACAAAGUGGAGGUGUAUGAUGUGUUAGGUAAGGCAGAUAAGAAUUGUGAGACUCUUGGUAAGCAUGACACGCUUCCACUAGCACUCCAAUAUCGUUCUCGGGGGAAAGUCGUUCCAAAACCACAUGCCACCCUUAGGACCUGGAUGCGGUUCGCUACAAGGGCUGACGCUUUGCUGGAGGCAGCUGCCCACGCGACAAUCUUCGCUUUGGUUAUUGCUUUUGUGGUUAGUGGUAGGGUCGGCAAUGGGGUAAAAGCCCAAACUGUUAAUGAGGAAAACCAGGGAAGUCAAGAUUGA